Molecule: small RNA, 555 nt
Filed under: Pongo abelii (Sumatran orangutan)
Lineage: Eukaryota; Metazoa; Chordata; Mammalia; Primates; Hominidae
Description: processed transcript
Source: RNAcentral
GAUAUCUGAAUAGGGACAGGGGAGGGAUUGGGUAAGGGAGGAGGAUUGGGCCACUGGGUGCGGUUACCGGGAACCCAGGCCCAUCAAUCACUGGCCACUUUGUGUUCUGGCAUGGAGAAUAGCGAGGUGGAGGAGGGGAAGCACUGGGGAGAGGUGCCAGGAUUUCCCCCCAACUGCCAGGACCUCCAAACGGAUUGGAACUAUACUGGUUGACUCAGGUCUGGAGCCCAAAAUCACAGGCAGAAUAUGAGAUGUGAAAAACAAGACCCAGAGAGGGGAAAUCAUUUGAAUCCUGUACUGGUAUUGCUUUGUGUUCCUGGAUUUGGAGAAUUUCUGGGAACACAGGAAAAGGAAAGUGAAUGCCACCAGGAUCUGAACCCAAGAUUCCAGCCUCGGUCACCACCCUGACCCAGAGAAUGCCACUGGGAUGGGGAGAACUUGUCAGUCUUCAUCCUUCCCCACAAGUAUACUGAGGCCAGGACAGCACCUGCCUUAGAGAGCUCUUAGAGGGAUUAUCCGCAGCCCGAAGAAAGAAGGUUGCAACUGAGGAAGAAU